RNAcentral lists this ribosomal RNA (509 nucleotides) under uncultured bacterium. Its description in RNAcentral is "partial 16S ribosomal RNA". It matches the Rfam family "Bacterial small subunit ribosomal RNA", at positions 28 to 523 of the family's 1533-position model. The record is from RNAcentral.
GACGAACGCUGGCGGCGUGCCUAACACAUGCAAGUUGAGCGACGAACCAGGGCUUGCCCUGGGGCAAAGCAGCGAACGGGUGAGUAACACGUGGGUAACCUACCCCGAUAACCGGGACAACCCGAGGAAACUCGGGCUAAUACCGGAUGUGCUCACUGAACUUCGGUUCAGUGCGUAAAGGAAGCUUCGGCCUCCGUCUCGGGAGGGGCCCGCGGGCCAUUAGCUAGUUGGUGAGGUAACGGCUCACCAAGGCCGCGAUGGGUAGCUGGUCUGAGAGGACGAUCAGCCACACUGGGACUGAGACACGGCCCAGACUCCUACGGGAGGCAGCAGUGGGGAAUCUUGCGCAAUGCGCGAAAGCGUGACGCAGCAACGCCGCGUGGGGGAAGAAGGCCUUCGGGUUGUAAACCCCUUUCAGGAGGGACGAAGGUUCGGCGGUGAAUAGCCGUCCGGACUGACGGUACCUCCACAAGAAGCCCCGGCUAACUACGUGCCAGCCGCCGCCGUAA